GGUGGGUAAUCAAAUGGUGGUUGAGUUGGUGGGUAACCGUAAAAUAGGUGCGGUUGUGGUGGUAUGAAGCCGCAGGUCUGCAUCAUUCCAACGGUGGGGUUUUGACAUACAUUGAACACACCAGUCGCUGGAUUUCCGGGUGUGUUAUAUCCAAAACGCGAUGGCGGCUGUCGAACUCGUUGUGGUCGCGGAUAAAAUCUAGCAGUUUCUUCGCCGUUAUUUCCCGCUUGGAUCACAUUUUCAUGUUCAUUCGUCG
This is a non-coding RNA of Paramuricea clavata, 256 nucleotides long. The record is from the annotation of a GenBank genome assembly. NCBI's taxonomy places the organism in Eukaryota, Metazoa, Cnidaria, Anthozoa, Malacalcyonacea, Plexauridae.